AGAAAUAUCCAAUUCUCUAACUAUUCUUUAAAAAAUGAAGUAGACUUCCCUUGUCCGAAUGAGAAAUGCGUGUUUUCUUUUACAUUCUGGCAAUUGCACUGUAAAGCAGAACACCACCACGCCUGGGCUAACAGGGCUUGAGGCACUGCUCGUCUUCCCAGCUCUCUGCUCUCUGAACUUGGGUUGACUUCAUCCAGAGUGAGUUCUUCCCUUGGGAAAAAGAGCAAAACCGUGUGGUCGGAUGGGUCUGUGCUCCCUGUGCUGUUAAUGCAGUGUGUUUCCUGAGCUCAGUCCUGCUGUCUCUGUGAACUCUGCAGGUAGAGACGGACUUUAAGGAAGCAGUGGGUGUUUGCAAGAGCUGAUGGCCUCAUCCCAAAAUCUGUGCAGAGCUGAUGCACAGGCUUCUUGUUCAAGGACGUUGACAUGGUUGAUCAGGAUGCACGCUGCCCUCCAGCUCCAUGUGCCUCAUCCAGGGCAGGGCUGUGUUUCUGUGGUCACAUUCAAACAUAUUCCAUCUUGCGACCCACCAAUACUUCCUCUGCAAAGUUAAAGAGGAGGGUAACGACUGUGUCUACAAGCACUCAGUGGAGAUUCCUGUUGCAGAAGAUGACUUCCAAUCUGGGAAUGCCUGUUCUGAACCCCUGCAGCCCCACACCCUGGGGCAGUGUGCCCAGGACUGUUUUCCUGCUGUGCCCAAAGGACACAGCCUCACAUUUUGGCAUCUCUGCUGCUCUAAGCACGGUGUGGCCCUGUGCUUCCCAGCAGUGGCUGUAAUACAAAUAAUAUUGAGGUACUUGGCCUGAGAGGAGUGUGAUACAGCCCCACAUCACUGUGCUUCCAAAGCUAAUAUAUCCCCACAAGGACCCACGGAUAGCAGAAUACAUAAGAGCAGCCCUGAAGCAGCAUAAUUCCAGUCCAGGCUGGAUGUGGCUCUGGGCAGCCUGGUCUGCUGGUUGGCAACCCUGCACAUAGCAGGGGGGUUGAAACUGGAUGAUCAUUGUGGUCCUUUUCAACCCAGGCCAUUCUAUGAUUCUAUGAUAAUUUGUGCCCAGCUGGCCCAGGUAGCCCAGCAGCCCUGGGAGCAGUGAGCAUCCCCUGUGUCCUCCGUCAAGGAGAGCCCAGCUGUCAGCAUGCAUUCACCAAACUUUUCACCUCUGUGUGUGUGUGGAAAAGAAAAUAUAAGCCUUUGGAUUAUUCUUUGUUUUUUCCCACCUCAGGUCUUUUUUCUGGUGCAAUUGCAGUGGUUUAACUGAAGGCGACGUGCAGACUUUCUACUGGUGUGAGUGUGUAGAAAGCUAAGAACACACCUGGAUUUUUGUUCUGAGAUUUUGCAGGAUUAAUGAUGGGAGGGGCUGCUCUACCCAUCCUGAAGGGAGGGAUCUCUGAAAAUCUCCCAGUGAAGAGAGAUCAGAGCAAAGAGUGUAAGGCUUCCAUGGGAGGGAUCACACAUAGGAAAUCGUGGAAUUUGGGUAAGCAUUUUAGAGACAAAUAGGUUCUUCCCGCAAGUCAGCUUCCCUCCCAAAUCAUUAAGAAAGUAUUUAUGUUAUGAGAUUCUCUCUUCCCGUCUAUGUAAUGAAAUGUGCCUUGUCUGUCUUGAGAAAAGCUUAAUGUUCUUUAUGAACACAUGAGCGUAUUUGUUCCUUCCUCCCUCCUCUCAAAAUCACUGUUGACUCCUGGCUUCAUUCUUCCAAAAUUCACAGUUCUUAAUCUUGAAUUCUUCGGGCUUUG
Long non-coding RNA from Pavo cristatus (Indian peafowl), 1728 nucleotides. NCBI's taxonomy places the organism in Eukaryota, Metazoa, Chordata, Aves, Galliformes, Phasianidae. The record is from Ensembl.